CAGUUUGAUGGCACCUUACACAUGCAAGUCGAACGGCAGCACGGGAGCUUGCUCCUGGUGGCGAGUGGCGAACGGGUGAGUAAUACAUCGGAACGUACCCAGUAGUGGGGGAUAACGCACCGAAAGGUGCGCUAAUACCGCAUACGACCUAAGGGUGAAAGCGGGGGACCGUAAGGCCUCGCGCUAUUGGAGCGGCCGAUGUCUGAUUAGCUACGUGAGGUAAAGGCUCACCAAGGCUUCGAUCAGUAAGCUGGUCUGAGAGGACGAUCAGCCACACUGGGACUGAGACACGGCCCAGACUCCUACGGGAGUUGCAGUGGGGAAUUUUGCAUUGAGGGCGAAAGCCUGAUCCAGCAAUGCCGCGUGUGCGAAGAAGGCCUUCGGGUUGUAAAGCACUUUUGUCAGGGAAGAAAUCUUUUAGGCUAAUACCUUGGAAGGAUGACGGUACCUGAAGAAUAAGCACCGGCUAACUACGUGCCAGCAGCCGCGGUAAUACGUAGGGUGCAAGCGUUAAUCGGAAUUACUGGGCGUAAAGCGUGCGCAGGCGGUUUGUUAAGACAGUCGAAAAAUCCCCGGGCUUAACCUGGGAACUGCGAUUGUGACUGGCAAGCUAGAGUACGGCAGAGGGGGGUGUUAUUCCUGGUGUAGCAGUGAAAUGCGUUUACAGUGGAGGAACACCGAUGGCGAAGGCAGCCCCCUGGGCUAGUACUGACGCUCAUGCACGAAAGCGUGGUGAGUCAAACAGGAUUAGAUACCCUGGUAGUCCACGCCCACCAAUGUCAAUUAGUUGUUGGUUCUUUAUUGAAUCAGUAACGUAGCUAACGCGUGAAAUUGACCGCCUGGGGAGUACGGUCGCAAGAUUAAAACUCAAAGGAAUUGACGGGGACCCGCACAAGCGGUGGAUGAUGUGGAUUAAUUCGAUGUUCGCGAAAAACCUUACCUACCCCAGUUUGUUCGGAAUUCUGCAGAGAUGCGGAAGUGCUCGAAAGAGAACCGGAACACAGGUGCUGCAUGGCUGUCGUCAGCUCGUGUCGUGAGAUGUUGGGUUAAGUCCCGCAACGAGCGCAACCCUUAUCAUUAGUUGCUACGCAAGGGCACUCUAAUGAGACUGCCCAGUUUAGGGAGGAAGGUGGGGAUGACGUCAAGUCCUCAUGGCCCUUAUGGGUAGGGCUUCACACGUCAUACAAUGGUCGGUACAGAGGGCUGUUAACCCGCAAGGGGGAGCCAAUCCUUUAAAACCGAUCGUAGUCCGGAUUGAGGUCUGCAACAGUGACCUCAUGAAGUCGGAAUCGCUAGUAAGGGGAUCAGCGGGUCGCGGUGAAUACGUUCCCGGGUCUAGUUACACACCGCCCGUCACACCUUGGGAGCGGGUACAGUCCAGAAGUAGCUAGCCUAACCGCAAGUUGGCGGUUACCAUACGGUAGAUUCGUGACCCAGGGAUUAAGUUC
RNAcentral lists this ribosomal RNA (1448 nucleotides) under uncultured bacterium. RNAcentral's name for it is "bacterial SSU rRNA". It matches the Rfam family "Bacterial small subunit ribosomal RNA". The record is from RNAcentral.